UAAUCACUUCUCCAUUGCAGUUGUUUUGUCUUUCUUGUUGUCAUGGAUAACUAAAGGGGCAUGACAAUUAUGACUUAGUUACAUAGUUGGAUGAAAUUAACAAAUAACAAAUCUAAAGAAUGUAUUUAAAAGCAUGGAAACGUCUAGUUUGCAUUUGCACUUUAUGUUGUACUGGGUAAUAGGCUUGUCCUCAACGAUGACUCGGUUGUUGCUUAUCAACUUGUUAUGAAUUGUACAUUGAGUGACUCUAAUGUUCUGAAUUCCAUGACAGGCUGGAUUGGCGCUCGGAGAACUGCGAUCGGUUGGUGACCUUUACGACUUCAACUCGAUCGCCACAUUGUUUCUUAUUGGAAUUGUGUCGGUGACCCCGACUUUAGUUGGCAAGAGUAAAUCAUAACAUUCUAUGGCCUAACACACACUCUUGAGCUUGGAUAUUUUGAUUGCCUCGGAGCCGAAUUUGCAG
Molecule: long non-coding RNA, 463 nt
Filed under: Cucumis sativus (cucumber)
Lineage: Eukaryota; Viridiplantae; Streptophyta; Magnoliopsida; Cucurbitales; Cucurbitaceae
Description: long non-coding RNA (CSAT_LNC001346)
Source: RNAcentral